This is a long non-coding RNA of Prosopis cineraria, 888 nucleotides long. RefSeq lists it as uncharacterized. NCBI's taxonomy places the organism in Eukaryota, Viridiplantae, Streptophyta, Magnoliopsida, Fabales, Fabaceae. The record is from RefSeq and is a predicted model, not a curated record. The transcript has 3 exons.
UAAGGGUCCGAAACCCGUGGCUUUCCUCUGUCCCUCUUAGCUCUGUCAUCUCUCAGCUUAUGUUCUCGCCGCCACUCGUCCUUUAGCUCUGUCUCUCAGCUCAUUCUCGCCCUUCGUCUCUCAGCUGCCGUUCUCGCCCCUCGUCUCUCUCAGCUCAAGCUUUCUCUUAAGUCACUCUUGUCUCUCAGCUUCUUCUUGUCUUGUCCCCACUCAUCAUGCUGCACUUUUCUUUCCUCCAGCUCCCUUUCUUCGCGAUAGAGGCCCCCACCAGAUCCAUUUAUUUUUCCUUCAUCCUUCAUCUUCUUCUUGUCUCAAUUCGAAGAUCCAACUUCCCUUAUUUUCUCGCUUCUUUUCCUCAGGACCCAACAAGCUCGUGGUCUACUCACUUUCUCCUGUUUCUUCAAAACCAUACAACUAGUGGUUUAUCUUCAAGCUCUCAUCAACUUCUAAAGUUCCAGCAGCUCUGUCAUCCAGAUAAAAAAAAGACAAUUUAAAUUGUGAACAACUUACUCAGCAUGAAGUGUGGGUUGAAGGACAACCAAAUUCAAAAGGUGAAGUUGAAGAUGAAGGUAUGAGGCAAGUUUGGCAGACUUGAUUAAGUAAAAGUAUUUAUGUUUAAAAUUUUAUUUAAAUGAUUUUAUUUCAUAAAUAAUUUGUUAUGAUCCUUAUAUAACAUCAACUUUGUCACAAAAAAGGCUAGAAGAAGCACGACAAUUUGGCCAUGAAGACAUCCUCAGUAGAGUAUUAAAUAUUCCCAAAGUCCCUAAUCGUGUUAUAGGAGUUGGUUUUGGUGUUAUCCAAACUACUUGUUUCGGGGGCUGAAAACGCUCAAACAAGAGUAUUAUUGUUGAGUUAAAAGAGGAAAUAAAUGCGUAUUUUAGCAACAAA